GAUGAACGCUGGCGGCGUGCCUAAUACAUGCAAGUCGAGCGAACAGACGCGGAGCUUGCUCCUCUGACGUUAGCGGCGCACGUGUGUGUAACACGUGUAUAACCUACCUAUAAGACUGGUAUAACUUCGGGAAACCGGAGCUUAUACCGUAUAAUAUAUUGAAGCACAUUGUUCAAUAGUGAAAGUCGGUUUUUCUGUCUCUUCUAGAUGGAUCUCCGCCUCAUUAGCUAGUUGUUGAGUUAACGGCUUUCCAAGGCAAGCAUGCGUAGGCGACGUGAGAGGGGGGUAGGCGGCACUAGAGCGGAGACACGGUCAAUACGACUACGGGAGGCAGCAGUCGGGAAUGGUCGGCAGUAGGGGAGAGCAUGACGGAGCAACGCCGAGUGAGUGAUGAAGGUCUUGGGAUCGUAAUGCUGUGUUAUUAGGGAAGAACCAAUGUGUAAGUAACUAUGCACGGCUUGACGGUACCUGAUCAGAAAGCAACGGCUAACUACGUG
Molecule: ribosomal RNA, 497 nt
Filed under: uncultured bacterium
Lineage: Bacteria
Description: partial 16S ribosomal RNA
Rfam family: Bacterial small subunit ribosomal RNA
Source: RNAcentral